This is a non-coding RNA of Pelobates cultripes (western spadefoot toad), 207 nucleotides long. NCBI's taxonomy places the organism in Eukaryota, Metazoa, Chordata, Amphibia, Anura, Pelobatidae. The record is from the annotation of a GenBank genome assembly.
GCAGCCUCCUGGCAUCAAACUUAUACUAUGGCUUGUUGUGUUUAAAGUGCUUAGACUAGCUGUGUAAACCGGUAUUUCAUUUUAAAAAAAAAAAAACACACACACCAAAUUGUUAGAUAUGUGUAAAAUACAUUGUGAAUCCAGGCUGUAACCCUACAAAAUGUUGACACUUAAGUAAUUAAUAUAUUCAAUUUGGGUUCAUACAGC